GAUGAACGCUGGCGGCGUGCUUAACACAUGCAAGUCGAACGGGAAUGCCACGCUGAUGCGAUUUCGGUCAAAUCAUGUGGCAUUCGAGUGGCGGACGGGUGAGUAACGCGUGGGUAACCUGCCUUACACAGGGGGAUAACACCUGGAAACAGGUGCUAAUACCGCAUAAGCGCACAGGGCCGCAUGGCCCGGUGUGAAAAACUCCGGUGGUGUAAGAUGGACCCGCGUCUGAUUAGCUUGUUGGCGGGGUAGGGGCCCACCAAGGCGACGAUCAGUAGCCGGCCUGAGAGGGUGGACGGCCACAUUGGGACUGAGACACGGCCCAAACUCCUACGGGAGGCAGCAGUGGGGGAUAUUGGACAAUGGGGGAAACCCUGAUCCAGCGACGCCGCGUGAGUGAAGAAGUAUUUCGGUAUGUAAAGCUCUGUCAGCAGGGAAGAAAGAAAUGACGGUACCUGACCAAGAAGCCCCGGCUAACUACGUGCCAGCAGCCGCGGUAAUACG
This 504-nucleotide ribosomal RNA is filed under the name uncultured bacterium. RNAcentral's name for it is "bacterial SSU rRNA". It matches the Rfam family "Bacterial small subunit ribosomal RNA", at positions 28 to 527 of the family's 1533-position model. The record is from RNAcentral.